This 238-nucleotide ribosomal RNA is filed under the name uncultured bacterium. Its description in RNAcentral is "partial 16S ribosomal RNA". It matches the Rfam family "Bacterial small subunit ribosomal RNA", at positions 15 to 249 of the family's 1533-position model. The record is from RNAcentral.
GAUCCUGGCUCAGAUUGAACGCUGGCGGCAGGCCUAACACAUGCAAGUCGAACGGUAACAGAAAGCAGCUUGCUGCUUUGCUGACGAGUGGCGGACGGGUGAGUAAUGUCUGGGAAACUGCCUGAUGGAGGGGGAUAACUACUGGAAACGGUAGCUAAUACUGCAUAACGUCGCAAGACCAAAGAGGGGGACCUUAGGGCCUCUUGCCAUCGGAUGUGCCCAGAUGGGAUUAGCUAGG